RNAcentral lists this ribosomal RNA (424 nucleotides) under uncultured bacterium. RNAcentral describes it as "bacterial SSU rRNA". It matches the Rfam family "Bacterial small subunit ribosomal RNA", at positions 355 to 796 of the family's 1533-position model. The record is from RNAcentral.
UGGGGAAUAUUGGACAAUGGGGGCAACCCUGAUCCAGCCAUGCCGCGUGGGUGAUGAAGGCCCUAGGGUUGUAAAGCCCUUUCGGCGGGGAAGAUAAUGACGGUACCCGCAGAAGAAGCCCCGGCUAACUUCGUGCCAGCAGCCGCGGUAAUACGAAGGGGGCUAGCGUUGCUCGGAAUCACUGGGCGUAAAGCGCACGUAGGCGGAUUCUUAAGUCGGGGGUGAAAUCCUGGAGCUCAACUCCAGAACUGCCUUCGAUACUGAGGAUCUUGAGUCCGGAAGAGGUGAGUGGAACUGCGAGUGUAGAGGUGAAAUUCGUAGAUAUUCGCAAGAACACCAGUGGCGAAGGCGGCUCACUGGUCCGGUACUGACGCUGAGGUGCGAAAGCGUGGGGAGCAAACAGGAUUAGAUACCCGCGUAGUCC